UACGGAGGGGGCUAGCGUUGUUCGGAAUUACUGGGCGUAAAGCGCGCGUAGGCGGCUUUGUAAGUUAGAGGUGAAAGCCCGGAGCUCAACUCCGGAAUUGCCUUUAAGACUGCAUCGCUUGAACAUCGGAGAGGUGAGUGGAAUUCCGAGUGUAGAGGUGAAAUUCGUAGAUAUUCGGAAGAACACCAGUGGCGAAGGCGACUCACUGGACGAUUGUUGACGCUGAGGUGCGAAAGCGUGGGGAGCAAACAGG
RNAcentral lists this ribosomal RNA (253 nucleotides) under uncultured bacterium. RNAcentral's name for it is "partial 16S ribosomal RNA". It matches the Rfam family "Bacterial small subunit ribosomal RNA", at positions 524 to 776 of the family's 1533-position model. The record is from RNAcentral.